RNAcentral lists this microRNA (21 nucleotides) under Schistosoma mansoni. Its description in RNAcentral is "sma-miR-8481-3p". The record is from miRBase by way of RNAcentral. Lineage: Eukaryota; Metazoa; Platyhelminthes; Trematoda; Strigeidida; Schistosomatidae.
GUCUUUCGCGAUAUUUCACAA